RNAcentral lists this ribosomal RNA (440 nucleotides) under uncultured bacterium. RNAcentral's name for it is "partial 16S ribosomal RNA". It matches the Rfam family "Bacterial small subunit ribosomal RNA", at positions 338 to 795 of the family's 1533-position model. The record is from RNAcentral.
CCUACGGGAGGCAGCAGUGGGGAAUAUUGCACAAUGGGGGAAACACUGAUGCAGCGACGCAGCGUGAGUGAAGAAGUAAUUAGUUAUGUAAAGCUCUAUCAGCAGGGAAGAAAAUGACGGUACCUGAGUAAGAAGCCCCGGCUAACUACGUGACAGCAGCCGCGGUAAUAAGUAGGGGGCAAGCGUUAUCCGGAUUUACUGGGUGUAAAGGGAGCGUAGACGGCAGUGCAAGUCUGGAGUGAAAGGCGGGGGCUCAACCCCCGGACUGCUCUGGAAACUGUACGGCUGGAGUGCAGGAGAGGUAAGUGGAAUUCCUAGUGUAGCGGUGAAAUGCGUAGAUAUUAGGAGGAACACCAGUGGCGAAGGCGGCUUACUGGACUGUAACUGACGUUGAGGCUCGAAAGCGUGGGGAGCAAACAGGAUUAGAUACCCGUGUAGUC